This is a non-coding RNA of Boleophthalmus pectinirostris (great blue-spotted mudskipper), 823 nucleotides long. The record is from the annotation of a RefSeq genome assembly. Lineage: Eukaryota; Metazoa; Chordata; Actinopteri; Gobiiformes; Gobiidae.
CAAAAUGGACUACAGGACAGCACUUGUGUUUGUCACAUACUGGACAGGUGUCUUUGCUCAGACUCUGACUGAAUCUGGUCCAGCUGUGAAAAGACCAGGAGAGUCCCACAGACUGACCUGUACAACAUCUGGGUUCACAUUUAGCAGCUAUGAAAUGAGCUGGAUCAGACAGGCUCCUGGGAAGGGGCUGCAGUGGCUGGCUUACAUAUGGAGCGGUGGGAGCACUACUUAUUACUCUGAGUCAGUGAAAGGCAGGUUCACCAUCUCCAGAGACAACAGCAGAAACCAGCUGUAUCUGCAGAUGAACAACCUCCAGACUGAGGACACGGCUGUGUACUACUGUGCCCGAGAGCACAGUGACACAAAGUAUAUCUACAACUGUACAAAAACAUUAAAGGGUGCAAUUCACAAUAACAACCAGAGGGGUCGCCCUAUACACAGCAAAAUGUCACUGAAGCUUUAAGUGCAGGUGGUUCUAGAAUAUUGAGUCACACUUUAUAAUAAAUGCAGAUUAAUUCAUCUUAAACACAAAUAAAAACAUAAUUCACGAUGAGCAAAUACUAUAUUAACAAUUUGUUUAUUAUAAAUUAAAUCUUUGUUUACUAAUUAAUUAUUUAAGUCUUGAUAUAUAUGAGUUAUUUUAAAGUAGUAAUGCAGCUGUUUGUUUAAUUCAUCAGUCGUCCAGGUAGGAUCCACAGUAAAAGAAAAAAUCAAUUCUGGACUGGACAAAAGCUUUCUGAGUUUUCAUCUGAGCAGCUUCUUAAGUUCUGAAUUUUUGUUUAGCUAUUGUAAUGUAGCUAUUUUAAAUCUGACCCCUUAUAAC